UCGUAGGCGGUUUGUCGCGUCUGCUGUGAAAUCCCGAGGCUCAACNUCGGGCCUGCAGUGGGUACGGGCAGACUAGAGUGCGGUAGGGGAGAUUGGAAUUCCUGGUGUAGCGGUGGAAUGCGCAGAUAUCAGGAGGAACACCGAUGGCGAAGGCAGAUCUCUGGGCCGUAACUGACGCUGAGGAGCGAAAGGGUGGGGAGCAAACAGGCUUAGAUACCCUGGUAGUCCACCCCGUAAACGUUGGGAACUAGUUGUGGGGUCCUUUCCACGGAUUCCGUGACGCAGCUAACGCAUUAAGUUCCCCGCCUGGGGAGUACGGCCGCAAGGCUAAAACUCAAAGGAAUUGACGGGGACCCGCACAAGCGGCGGAGCAUGCGGAUUAAUUCGAUGCAACGCGAAGAACCUUACCAAGGCUUGACAUACACGAGAACACCCCAGAAAUGGGGGACUCUUUGGACACUCGUGAACAGGUGGUGCAUGGUUGUCGUCAGCUCGUGUCGUGAGAUGUUGGGUUAAGUCCCGCAACGAGCGCAACCCUCGUUCUAUGUUGCCAGCACGUAAUGGUGGGAACUCAUGGGAUACUGCCGGGGUCAACUCGGAGGAAGGUGGGGAUGACGUCAAAUCAUCAUGCCCCUUAUGUCUUGGGCUUCACGCAUGCUACAAUGGCCGGUACAAAGGGCUGCAAUACCGUGAGGUGGAGCGAAUCCCAAAAAGCCGGUCC
This 721-nucleotide ribosomal RNA is filed under the name actinomycete Ac1oB6. RNAcentral describes it as "bacterial SSU rRNA". It matches the Rfam family "Bacterial small subunit ribosomal RNA", at positions 569 to 1288 of the family's 1533-position model. Lineage: Bacteria; Bacillati; Actinomycetota; Actinomycetes; Actinomycetales. The record is from RNAcentral.